GAUGAACGCUGGCUACAGGCUUAACACAUGCAAGUCGAGGGGAAACGACGGGGAAGCUUGCUUCCCCGGGCGUCGACCGGCGCACGGGUGAGUAACGCGUAUCCAACCUGCCUCUGACUGAGGGAUAACCCGUCGAAAGUCGGCCUAAUACCUCAUGGCAUCGUCUGCGGGCAUCCAACGACGAUUAAAGAUUUCAUCGGUCAGGGAUGGGGAUGCGUCUGAUUAGCUUGUUGGCGGGGUAACGGCCCACCAAGGCUACGAUCAGUAGGGGUUCUGAGGGGAAGGUCCCCCACAUUGGAACUGAGACACGGUCCAAACUCCUACGGGAGGCAGCAGUGAGGAAUAUUGGUCAAUGGGCGGGAGCCUGAACCAGCCAAGUAGCGUGCAGGAUGACGGCCCUAUGGGUUGUAAACUGCUUUUAUGCGGGGAUAAAGUGAGGGACGUGUCCUUCAUUGCAGGUACCGCAUGAAUAAGGACCGGCUAAUUCCGUG
RNAcentral lists this ribosomal RNA (491 nucleotides) under uncultured bacterium. RNAcentral's name for it is "partial 16S ribosomal RNA". It matches the Rfam family "Bacterial small subunit ribosomal RNA", at positions 28 to 507 of the family's 1533-position model. The record is from RNAcentral.